AAGUCGAGGGGCAGCACGAUCUUCGGAUUGGUGGCGACCGGCGCACGGGUGCGUAACGCGUAUAGAACCUACCUUUUACAGAGGGAUAGCCCAGAGAAAUUUGGAUUAAUACCUCAUAGUAUUAUAGAUUGGCAUCGAUUUAUAAUUAAACAUUUAUGGUAAGAGAUGGCUAUGCGUCCUACUAGUUAGUUGGUAAGGCAACGGCUUACCAAGACAGCGAUAGGUAGGGUCCUGAGAGGGAGACCCCCCACACUGGUACUGAGACACGGACCAGACUCC
This 279-nucleotide ribosomal RNA is filed under the name unidentified marine bacterioplankton. RNAcentral's name for it is "partial 16S ribosomal RNA". It matches the Rfam family "Bacterial small subunit ribosomal RNA", at positions 59 to 339 of the family's 1533-position model. The record is from RNAcentral.